Molecule: non-coding RNA, 151 nt
Filed under: human gut metagenome
Source: RNAcentral
CCCGCUAUUCCGUUAGCGGUAGCCUAGUGCCACCUGCAUCAGAAGCAAUGACGGUGUUGGGAAGCUGGCAUGACAAAGUAGCCCUCCACGUAAGUGGUAAAGCCGAAGCCGUGAGGCAGAAGCGAAUCUGCGAGCAUCAAUGCGGUUAGGG